Molecule: ribosomal RNA, 985 nt
Filed under: Pediococcus acidilactici
Lineage: Bacteria; Bacillati; Bacillota; Bacilli; Lactobacillales; Lactobacillaceae
Description: bacterial SSU rRNA
Rfam family: Bacterial small subunit ribosomal RNA
Source: RNAcentral
UAACUGUUCACCCAGUGACGGUAUUUAACCAGAAAGCCACGGCUAACUACGUGCCAGCAGCCGCGGUAAUACGUAGGUGGCAAGCGUUAUCCGGAUUUAUUGGGCGUAAAGCGAGCGCAGGCGGUCUUUUAAGUCUAAUGUGAAAGCCUUCGGCUCAACCGAAGAAGUGCAUUGGAAACUGGGAGACUUGAGUGCAGAAGAGGACAGUGGAACUCCAUGUGUAGCGGUGAAAUGCGUAGAUAUAUGGAAGAACACCAGUGGCGAAGGCGGCUGUCUGGUCUGUAACUGACGCUGAGGCUCGAAAGCAUGGGUAGCGAACAGGAUUAGAUACCCUGGUAGUCCAUGCCGUAAACGAUGAUUACUAAGUGUUGGAGGGUUUCCGCCCUUCAGUGCUGCAGCUAACGCAUUAAGUAAUCCGCCUGGGGAGUACGACCGCAAGGUUGAAACUCAAAAGAAUUGACGGGGGCCCGCACAAGCGGUGGAGCAUGUGGUUUAAUUCGAAGCUACGCGAAGAACCUUACCAGGUCUUGACAUCUUCUGCCAACCUAAGAGAUUAGGCGUUCCCUUCGGGGACAGAAUGACAGGUGGUGCAUGGUUGUCGUCAGCUCGUGUCGUGAGAUGUUGGGUUAAGUCCCGCAACGAGCGCAACCCUUAUUACUAGUUGCCAGCAUUCAGUUGGGCACUCUAGUGAGACUGCCGGUGACAAACCGGAGGAAGGUGGGGACGACGUCAAAUCAUCAUGCCCCUUAUGACCUGGGCUACACACGUGCUACAAUGGAUGGUACAACGAGUCGCGAAACCGCGAGGUUUAGCUAAUCUCUUAAAACCAUUCUCAGUUCGGACUGUAGGCUGCAACUCGCCUACACGAAGUCGGAAUCGCUAGUAAUCGCGGAUCAGCAUGCCGCGGUGAAUACGUUCCCGGGCCUUGUACACACCGCCCGUCACACCAUGAGAGUUUGUAACACCCAAAGCCGGUGGGGUAACC